AAGGCACACCGUAUGGGGUAGCUCCAGUAUAAACACCAGAGGUCAACGUCUGUUCUAUGGAGAAAUUUUGAAAUAUGUAGCUCCAGCAAUGCUUUUCUUUCUUCGAGGCGGCUUCUCCGACAGCACUAUCAACAACAAAGUUGUAAUUUUGUAAAAUUAAAUAGUUAAGUUGCAGUAACCCAGUCGCACGUCGGGAGUAAGCGCAAUCAAUCAUAUUGUCUUUGACAACCACAGUCAAAAGCGAUAAAGAACAGCAUUGAAGUUGUCUGCAAGAUCAACAUCGAUAGCCGCAUUUUCGGUGUUAAGCACCUGAUUGCUGUUGGAUGCCGCAAAGCAACUUCGACGAACUGAACGAAUCGUGUAGCCGUCAGCAAAUGCAUACAGAAACAUAUUCAAAUUCGUAUAUAACAAAGAAAAAUGACUGUACAUUUGUGAAUUUCAUCACCGUUAGAUGGCUGAACGAACGUGCGUACGCGUGUCAACUACGACCCUUGCGGAAAUCUCAAUUUCCUUGUCUGAUUCUAAAGCAGUUCGACUACAAAAAGAGCACAUCAAAGUCGAAAGGGCGCAGCUGCAAAGACAUAUAUACAAGAAGUGAUGUGAUUCAACCAUUCAACACCAACAAUCGUCACUUCCAUCGCCAUUGUGCCCACAACCAUUAUCAUUACUCCCACCAUCAAUCCACAAAAUCAUAAGCAGCAUCAUCGCAGCGAGGGACGACUUUAACCUGCUGCACUAUAGCCAACAGCACUAGCACCACGCCAUGCGGCACGUUUUUAGGAUUUUUUUUGGCCUUGGCAUCGAAAAUACUUUACGUCAGCUAUCACUUAUGAAUAUAUGUACAUUUGUAUAUUCUUACCGCCAAACGCUUGCGGAAACAUGUCGGGUGCACUAGAGCGAAGUGAUUUUAUUUUUUACUGGUUGCAAUAAAAAAGUAAAAAUUGUUUGCCGAUAUGUUGGCGUAUCGUUGUCGAUGCGGGAAUUUCUUAGCCAAAAAUUUCAAUUAUCCAACAACCAAAGCGAGAACAACAUGUCGGCAAUAGCAAAGGAAAUUAUUUUGGGUGUGACAAUAAUUUAACGCAGAAUUCGCUAGGUGUAAUAUACCAAAUUUUUUCUGCUGGAAUAUACGGAAAAUAUGCAAAUCAAAAAUCAAGAAAUUAUUACAUAAUAUAUAUACUGAAUGUAACUCAACUAAUUACUCAGACAGUUCUGAUCACUACCAUACAAACUGAGAGAUCAAAAUCAUGUCCUUGCAUUGAAUACUUUUUUAAUUCCGAGAUAUCUUCACGAAAUUUAGCGAGGAUUAUUAAGGCAACGGUACAAUUUCUGAAAUAACUGUUCAGAUUGGACUACUAUAGCAUAUAUAUAACUGUCAUAAACAACUGAUGGAUCAAAAUCAAGGCAAAGAUCUGUUUAUAUGUCUUGAUAAUAUAUGAAAUGUACCUGAGAAAUAUUUCUUGAAACUUCAAAAUUCGUUAGAGGGUGGAAAGUCCACACACCACUUGGCGGUUAGCAUUUCUCUUUUAAGUAAUAUCAAACCGGAGGAUGCAGACGUCUGCUGUACAGAAUAACAAUAAAUUAAUAAGUCGUUGGGAUCAUGUAAAAUGUGCAUUUAUCUACAAAUUCACAAAUAAAACACAGUCAAUAAGACAAGCGUAUAAUGGGCAAUAACAACUAAAUUUUAAG
RNAcentral lists this long non-coding RNA (1686 nucleotides) under Bactrocera tryoni. RNAcentral's name for it is "uncharacterized LOC120779704, transcript variant X1". The record is from RNAcentral. Lineage: Eukaryota; Metazoa; Arthropoda; Insecta; Diptera; Tephritidae.